Nicotiana tabacum (common tobacco) is the source of this 1455-nucleotide long non-coding RNA. RefSeq lists it as uncharacterized. Lineage: Eukaryota; Viridiplantae; Streptophyta; Magnoliopsida; Solanales; Solanaceae. The record is from RefSeq and is a predicted model, not a curated record.
AAACAUUGAACUCUCUCUCUCUCCAUUUCUGAGAAACAGGGGGGUCUCGCUGAAUUGGGGAAGAAAUUGAAGACCCGAUUUUAACCCCCUAUCCGACCCGUUUCUCUGCAAAAUCACCCGGUCUCCGUUACAUGAUGCCCUAGUUCUUGGGGGCAUCAUCAUCUGUACAGUUCCUUUUUUUGAUUUCAACAUUUUGGGACCAUACCAUUUUGGGGCCCAUUUCGUUGAUUCCUCAUUAUCAGAAACAAUAGCUGAAAAACCCCGUACUAGUACAAGUCUUUGCAAUUUUCCGGACCCUAAUUCGUUAUAUGCCCGAUUGUUAAAGCUCCGAUUUUUUUGGUAAAAGAGUUGAUUGGAAUGAAACAGGUCAAAUGAAGCAAAGUGGGUAUUGAAGAUUCAUAUAGUUGACCCGAAUUAGCUUUAAAUGGAUCCCUCAUUGUUGAUCUUAACGUUGGGUUUCUGCCUUUGUUUCCUUAUUCUUGCCGUACAAUCAAGUCCUUCGCCUCCUCCUUCUCCGUCUCAGCAAUCUCGACCGCCGCUGCCAUCUGCUCCCUUAUCACCACCACCACCACCAUCACCACGGCCUCCUCCAACACCCCACCAAAGUCGCCGUCCUCCACCACCUCCAAAAAAGACUAUCUCCGACAGUAAAAACUCUAACCACGGUAAAAACCACCACCAUAAAUCUAACGGGAAAUUGCAUCCACCUAUAAAGCAAAAGAAGUUAAAUUGGGGGAAGAAAUUGGGGUUCAUGUUUGCAGGUGUUACUGCGAUAUUGCAAGUGUGUGUGCUGGCGUUCUUGAUAAUCAAGAGAAGGCAGCUGUUAAAGGCUGAUAGUAGUAGAUUUUGAAGGGACAUUUGUAUAUGGAUGUGUAUAUCAGCUCCCAUUUCUUUUAGUUAUAUGAUUCUCUUUUGGCGGCGGAGCAUGUUAAUUGCAGUUAGCCUUAUUGAUUCAGAUUUUUAACACGGCAUCAAUGGAGUAGAAGGAUUAAGGAUACAGCUGAAAUGUUGGUUUCUGCAUUUGCGUUGGUCGCUCCUGUAAAUUGCAUGCAUAACUCUUGAGGGUAACCUUGGCGUAACUGGUAAAGUUGCUGAACUGGUAAAGUUGCUGACAUGUUACGGUGGAAACAGCCUGUUGCAAAAAUGCAGGUCUCAAAUGAAAGGAUUAAAGAUGAUAUCUUGCCUUUUUGUCAAUUUUAAGGAACUGGCUUCGAUUUGUUUUGGAGAACAUAAUGUUGUCUGGUGAGAAAAGAAUGCUGUAGGGAAACGAGCAUAACUAUUGCUGGAGGCAUGACCUGUCAUCAUCAAAGCUGAAAUAUGAUUUCUAAUGUAUAGGUUAAACACCACAAAACUAUUUAAUUGUUGGUAUAAUCUAACUGUUGUACAUGAUACGAAAAUUUAAACACGGUCAAACAUGUAUCUCUAUCUUAAUGUGCUUUAAUGUGUUACUUAUAA